Molecule: long non-coding RNA, 1037 nt
Filed under: Nicotiana benthamiana
Lineage: Eukaryota; Viridiplantae; Streptophyta; Magnoliopsida; Solanales; Solanaceae
Description: long non-coding RNA (NBEN_LNC006627)
Source: RNAcentral
UAAUAAAUAGCAACUUAAUGGAUUAUGUCCAUGGCCUAAUUUCAUUAUCAAUAAAAAUGCAAUUUUGCAGUAAGAGUGCUUCUCUCUUUUCCGGAAUACAAGGUGCGAAUCUUCUACUACUUGAUCACAAGUUAACCAAAUAACAAUAAUUAUUGCACAUGAAAGUGAAGAUAAAUGACAAAAUUUGCAACAGAAGUCUUCAGCGAAUUCAUCUUUAACUAACCCAAAUGGAAUAACAAUCACUUCAAUAGCAAAACUAAAGAAAGAAAGAAAAAAGAAAGUUGAUAACUGCAAAAAAAAAUAAAAAUACUAUUUCUUUCCCUUGAGCUAGAUCCGAAAAGCAAACAAAAGAUUAAAGGAUUAGAAUUCAAGAAAUUCGUCCUUGAUUACUUUAAGAAGACAGUGCAUUAGACACACGAGAUGAAAUUUCAGUUUUUCCAAUCACACAUAUAGUAGGCAUGAUAAAUUAAAUUUAGCAACAAUCACAAAAAAAACCACCAUUUAUCUCAUGAAUCUAGGCAUUCUAAUGAAAGAUGUGAGUUACAAGUUUAUAUUUGUGUACCUAAUUCUGCAAUGGUGAAAACAGGACUGUACCACGCCAAAUAAAGGCUGAAAAAAACAUAGCCAUAGGUUGAGCUCAGCUACUAGUUGAACCACACAGCAACAAAUAGUGAUAUCCAGCAAGCCACUUUUCUUGAUUUUGUCGCUGGGUUUUUUAUAACAAUUUGUGGCCAUUUGUUUUCCGGACUUUCAAGGCAGAAAAGAAGCCGUCAUGGCUUCUCUGUUCCGAGUCCUAAAGAAACAACGAAGUUUUUUUUUUCUUUUUUUUUUUGGGUUGUUUCAUUAAGAAGAUGUUGAAGCUCGGCUGGGGAAGGUUUAAGAAGAUGGAGUUUUUUGGGGGUCCAAUUCUGUUGGUCGGAAAUGGCUGAUCAAAAAAGAAGCGUGGGGAGGGUCCUUUUUCUUGAAAAGUUGCGCUCCUUUUUCAGAUGAAAAAUCAGCACUUAUUUUCUAGGUCUAGAUCGUUUUAUAGGUCUAAA